This is a non-coding RNA of Microcebus murinus (gray mouse lemur), 2333 nucleotides long. NCBI's taxonomy places the organism in Eukaryota, Metazoa, Chordata, Mammalia, Primates, Cheirogaleidae. The record is from RefSeq and is a predicted model, not a curated record.
AUGGCUGCUUUUCAUGGGGGAACCUGGGAGCCCCCCGCGCCUCCCCGCAGCGACAGCGGCCAAUCCGGCUGGCCUGAGGCCGCCCGCCGGCCCUCCUGGCUUCCCUCGACGAGCCCACCGCGUCUCCGCGCCCAGCGUCAUCCUGUGAGUGCCUGCCGGGCGAGGAGGCUGGGCCGGCUGCGGGAAAUGCUGUCGGUUGGCCUAGGCUUUCUGCGCGCCGAGCUGGGCCGCGACCUGGCCGGGAGAGCACGCCCGCAAGCGCCAGCGGGAGGCGGCGGCCCUGCCGACCUGGCCCUGCCGAAGAAUCUCAGAAGCGACGAGCAGAAGAAGAACCGGAAGAAACUGACGGAGAAACCCAGACCAAAUGGACGGACUGCUGAAGUGGCUGAGGAUGGAGUCCGAACUCCUCAAAGUGUAACAGCAAAGCAGCUACCAGAGAUAGAUAAGAAAAAUGAAAAGUCAAAGAAAAAUAAGAAGAAAUCAAAGUCAGACGCUAAAGCAGUGCAGAACAGUUCACGCCAUGAUCGAAAGGCAGUUGAUGAAGGCGCCUGGGAAACUAAAAUUAGUCACAGAGAGAAACGCCAGCAACGUAAACGUGAUACGGUGAUGACUGAUUCUGGUUCAUUGGAUUCUACUAUCCCUGGAAUAGAAAAUACCAUCACAGUUACCACCGAGCAACUUACAACUGCAUCAUUUCCUGUUGGUUCCAAGAAGAAUAAAGGUGAUUCCCAUCUAAAUGUUCAAGUUAGCAACUUUAAGUCUGGAAAAGGAGAUUCUACACUUCAGGAUUGAAUGAAAACCUCACUGUCAAUGGAGGAGGCUGGAAUGAAAAGUCUAUAAAACCCUCCUCACAGAUCAGUGCAGGUGAGGAGAAGUGGAACUCUGUUUCACCUGCUUCUGCAGGCAAGAGGAAAACUGAGCCAUCUGCUUGGAGUAAAGACACUGGAGAUGCUAAUUCAAAUGGAAAAGACUGGGGAAGGAAUUGGAAUGACCAUUCAAUAUUUUCUGACAUUGGGUCUACUGCUGAGCCAGUUUCUCGGUCUACCACUUCUGAUUAUCAGUGGGAUGUUAGCCGUAAUCAACCCUAUAUCGAUGAUGAAUGGUCUGGGUUAAAUGGUCUGUCUUCUGUUGAUCCCAGCUCAGACUGGAAUGCACCAGCAGAAGAGUGGGGGAAUUGGGUAGAUGAAGAAAGAGCUUCAAUUCUAAAGUCCCAGGAACCGAUUCAUGAUGAUCAAAAGGUUUCAGAUGAUGAUAAAGGGAGAGGGAGCACUUCCAACAGGGAAGUCUAAAAAGAAAAAGAAGCAGCAAGGUGAAGAUAUCUCUCUUGCUCAGGACACAGAAGAAUUAGAAAAAGAAACUAAAGAAGAGCUUCCAGUAAAUACCUCUAAAGCCCGUCCAAAACAGGAAAAAGCUUUUUCCUCGAAGACCAUAAGCACAAGUGAUCCAGCUGAAGUACUCAUCAAAAAUAGCCAGCCUAUCAAGACUCUUUCACCUGCUGUUUCUACCGAGUCAUCUGUUAUUUUAUCAAAAAGUGACUCUGACAAGAGCUCUUCCCAAGUGCCACCGAUGCUACAAGAGACAGAAAAAUCCAAGUCAAAUACCAAGCAAAAUAGUGUGCCUCCUUCACAGACCAAGUCUGAAACUAGCUGGGAAUCUCCCAAACAAAUAAAAAAGAAGAAAAAAGCCAGAAGAGAAAUGUGAAUUUUUUUCCAGAAUUGGACAGACACGUGUUUGCAAACACUGUCUUGAAGAUAUGCUGUUUAUGCAAUUUGUGAACAUGUGCAGAGUUUUAUAUAAAUUUAAACCAAUUUUUAAAACAAAACUGUGAACACAACCACCAUAAAAAUGGAAUCAAAGGAAAAUUAAUUUAUGAAAUUAAGAGGUCAGCAGAAUAUACUACAGUGCUGGAAGACACUUGGGAAAGUCUUUUUAAUUGAACAAGAGUGAUCUUAAUUUAAGAAUACUAUCCUGGUUUUACAACAGUGCCCUGUUUACAACAGAUUGUGCCUUAACUCAUCUGCAGUCAAGGAAUAAAGGAUUCUGAUUAGAAAGAGGGUUGCCUACAAAUUAGUAGGCAACUCCUUGGAUCUUAUGCACAGAACUUGUACCAUUUCAAUCUGUUUUAUGCUUAAAUCAAAGUGCUUUGAUCAACUGCAUAAUCUGCCAUAUCUUUACAUAUUUGUUGGUUGCAAUUUGUAUUAAAGGAAACACAGUGCAAAUAAAAAGUCAUUUAUCAUUUAUUUAACUAAACUGUCAUAGUUUAGUUUAUAAUUUUUAAAAAGUUCUUAAUUAAAAUAUUGAAAAUGCAGUUGACACUUGUAUGGCUUAUGAAG